GAGGGCAUAGGUCAGUGGUGGAGUAUGUGCCUGGUGUGCACAAGGUCCUGGGUUCUCAAUUCCCAGUACCUACA
RNAcentral lists this transfer RNA (74 nucleotides) under Camelus bactrianus (Bactrian camel). It matches the Rfam family "tRNA". Rfam says of the family: Transfer RNA (tRNA) molecules are approximately 80 nucleotides in length. Their secondary structure includes four short double-helical elements and three loops (D, anti-codon, and T loops). Lineage: Eukaryota; Metazoa; Chordata; Mammalia; Artiodactyla; Camelidae. The record is from Rfam by way of RNAcentral. RNAcentral also lists the same sequence under 1 other name.